RNAcentral lists this transfer RNA (72 nucleotides) under Camelus bactrianus (Bactrian camel). It matches the Rfam family "tRNA". From Rfam's summary of the family: Transfer RNA (tRNA) molecules are approximately 80 nucleotides in length. Their secondary structure includes four short double-helical elements and three loops (D, anti-codon, and T loops). Lineage: Eukaryota; Metazoa; Chordata; Mammalia; Artiodactyla; Camelidae. The record is from Rfam by way of RNAcentral. RNAcentral also lists the same sequence under 1 other name.
GAGGGGAUGGCUCAGCGGCAGAGCAUCUGCUUAGCAUGCAGGAGGUCCUGGGUUCAGUCCCCGGUACCUCCA